UAAUUGAAGAGUUUGAUCAUGGCUCAGAUUGAACGCUGGCGGUAAGCUUAACACAUGCAAGUCGAGCGGCAUCGAAAAGUUCUAUUUUAUAGAAUUUUGUCGGCGAGCGGCGAACGGGUGAGUAAUGUCUGGGGAUCUACCUAAUGGAGGGGGAUAACUACUGGAAACGGUAGCUAACACCGCAUAAUGUCGUAAGACCAAAAUGGGGGACUAUAUUAUAUAGUAUAGCCUCAUGCCAUUAGAUGAACCCAGAUGAGAUUAGCUAGUAGGUGAGAUAAUAGCUCACCUAGGCAACGAUCUCUAGCUGGUCUGAGAGGAUGACCAGCCACACUGGAACUGAGACACGGUCCAGACUCCUACGGGAGGCAGCAGUGGGGAAUCUUGCACAAUGGGGGAAACCCUGAUGCAGCUAUACCGCGUGUGUGAAGAAGGCCUUAGGGUUGUAAAGCACUUUCAAUGAGAAAGAAAGUUGUCUUCUUAAAAAGAAGAUAAUUUGACGUUACUCAUAAAAGAAGCACCGGCUAACUCCGUGCCAGCAGCCGCGGUAAUACGGAGGGUGCGAGCGUUAAUCGGAAUUACUGGGCGUAAAGCGUAUGCAGGUGGUUUGCUUAGUCAGAUGUGAAAGCCCCGGGCUUAACCUGGGAAUGGCAUUUGAAACUAGCUAGCUAGAGUAUCGUAAAGGGGAGGAGAAUUCCAGGUGUAGCGGUGAAAUGCGUAGAGAUCUGGAAGAAUACCAGUGGCGAAGGCGCCUCCCUAGACGAAAACUGACACUCAAGUACGAAAGCGUGGGGAGCAAACAGGAUUAGAUACCCUGGUAGUCCAUGCUGUAAACGAUGUCGAUUUGGAGGUUGUAACCUUUGAGUUAUAGCUUUCGAAGCUAACGCAUUAAAUCGACCGCCUGGGGAGUACGACCGCAAGGUUAAAACUCAAAUGAAUUGACGGGGGCCCGCACAAGCGGUGGAGCAUGUGGUUUAAUUCGAUACAACGCGAAGAACCUUACCUACUCUUGACAUCCAGAGAAUAAAGCAGAAAAGUUUUAGUGCCUACGGGAACUCUGAGACAGGUGCUGCAUGGCUGUCGUCAGCUCGUGUUGUGAAAUGUUGGGUUAAGUCCCGCAACGAGCGCAACCCUUAUGCUUUGUUGCCAACGACUCGGUCGGGAACUCAAAGGAAACUGCCGGUGAUAAACCGGAGGAAGGUGAGGAUAACGUCAAGUCAUCAUGGCCCUUACGAGUAGGGCUACACACGUGCUACAAUGGUGCAUACAAAGGGGAGCAAUCUCGCAAGAGCUAGCAAAACUCAUAAAGUGCGUCGUAGUCCGGAUUAGAGUCUGCAACUCGACUCUAUGAAGUCGGAAUCGCUAGUAAUCGUGAAUCAGAAUGUCACGGUGAAUACGUUCCCGGGCCUUGUACACACCGCCCGUCACACCAUGGGAGUGUGUUGCAAAAGAAGUAAGUAGCUUAACCUACGGGAGGGCGCUUACCACUUUGUGAUUCAUGACUGGGGUGAAGUCGUAACAAGGUAACCGUAGGGGAACCUGCGGUUGGAUCACCUCCUUA
Baumannia cicadellinicola str. Hc (Homalodisca coagulata) is the source of this 1558-nucleotide ribosomal RNA. It matches the Rfam family "Bacterial small subunit ribosomal RNA". The record is from Rfam. NCBI's taxonomy places the organism in Bacteria, Pseudomonadati, Pseudomonadota, Gammaproteobacteria.